GCGGGCAUCUAAUGAGGACUAAUGGCUUCGGCCGCUGCGGGAUGGGGAUGCGUAGGAUUAGGCAGGCGGCGGGGCGACGGCCCACCGCGCCGACGAUCCUUAGGGGUUCUGAGAGGAAGGUCCCCCACACUGGUACUGAGACACGGACCAGACUCCUACGGGAGGCAGCAGUGAGGAAUAUUGGUCAAUGGGCGCGAGCCUGAACCAGCCAAGUAGCGUGCAGGAAGACGGCCCUACGGGUUGUAAACUGCUUUUAUGCGGGGAUAAAGUGGGCUACGCGUAGCCCUUUGCAGGUACCGCAUGAAUAAGGACCGGCUAAUUCCGUGCCAGCAGCCGCGGUAAUACGGAAGGUCCGGGCGUUAUCCGGAUUUAUUGGGUUUAAAGGGAGCGCAGGCGGCCUUUUAAGCGUGACGUGAAAUGCCGGGGCUCAACCUUGGAAUUGCGUCGCGAACUGGCGGGCUUGAGUACGCUCGAGGCAGGCGGAAUUCGUGGUGUAGCGGUGAAAUGCUUAGAUAUCACGAGGAACCCCGAUUGCGAAGGCAGCCUGCCGGGGUGUUACUGACGCUCAUGCUCGAAGGUG
This 580-nucleotide ribosomal RNA is filed under the name uncultured rumen bacterium. RNAcentral's name for it is "bacterial SSU rRNA". It matches the Rfam family "Bacterial small subunit ribosomal RNA", at positions 185 to 761 of the family's 1533-position model. The record is from RNAcentral.